CUUAAGAGUGGUUUAGAUGGCAUUCAAUUCUUAAGUUUAGGAAACCAAAACUGGAGACUCGAUAUUGCUGUAGAAGUUAAAUUUCUGGGCAAUUUCUGAAACAGAAGUGGGUUAACUUUCCUCAGCUUUUGAAAUUUGCCGUUUACUGUGAUGCACAUACAGUGAAGAAGCAAUAUCGAUGGAAGCAGCUGUUAUAAAAUCCAGCAGCAGGUAAUGGUUUGCUUUAGAAGCUUAACUUGUGAAUUUUUGCUCAAUGGCAAUGUUAGAAUUCUCCCCAAAACUCUGCAGUGACCAUGGC
Molecule: unclassified non-coding RNA, 298 nt
Filed under: Hevea brasiliensis (rubber tree)
Lineage: Eukaryota; Viridiplantae; Streptophyta; Magnoliopsida; Malpighiales; Euphorbiaceae
Source: RNAcentral